This is a non-coding RNA of Microcebus murinus (gray mouse lemur), 581 nucleotides long. The record is from RefSeq and is a predicted model, not a curated record. Lineage: Eukaryota; Metazoa; Chordata; Mammalia; Primates; Cheirogaleidae.
UGUCACUCACAGUUGACUUUGGUAGCCCAGCAGCUUCCUGUCUCACACGCAGGGCUGGCGCGCAGGACGCUCCUCUGCAGACACUUGGUAUGGAAGAAAUUCUAGUGUUGAUCCUUCUGUAUCUUCCUUUUGACCUUUGGAAAGAAAACAAGAUAUUCAAAAGGAACUCUGAAACCAUGGCUUCACCUCACAGAGCAUGAAGUUUCUUUUCUUCUCUUUCUUUCCCUAAAGGCCACAGAUACUAGUUCGGCUGCAGCUCGCGCAAGACAGCCCUGAAAGCUAGGGCUUGGAAAACGGGACCUGGAACCAAGUCUCCCUCGGUUGGAAACCUCGCUCCCCUGGCGUCCUCCGCAAUCAGCGUACAGAAUGGAUUUCAGAUCAAGAUCCCCAAAGUGGCGAGCAUCUGCCAGGGUACGAGACAGGGCUUCAAGCAGGCUUGUAGCCUUUCUACCCAUGCGAGAAUCUCUUGUUCGAAGUGGAAACAAGUGGAAAACCAAAAACUGAGCAAAAAGAAAGCGGCAACGCCGGUCUGGCGCCGAGCAGAGCUCCCUCUGGGGGAACCAGGUGCCUGGCGCCCUCAG